RNAcentral lists this transfer RNA (78 nucleotides) under Thermoplasmata archaeon HGW-Thermoplasmata-1. Its description in RNAcentral is "tRNA-Asn". It matches the Rfam family "tRNA". From Rfam's summary of the family: Transfer RNA (tRNA) molecules are approximately 80 nucleotides in length. Lineage: Archaea; Methanobacteriati; Thermoplasmatota; Thermoplasmata. The record is from RNAcentral.
GCCGUCGUGGCUCAGUCCGGUUAGAGCGUCUGACUGUUAAUCAGGUGGCCGCAGGUUCGAAUCCUGCCGACGGCGCCA